CAUCUGAUAAUUACCAAUAAAAAGAGCUGUAGAAAUAAUGUUUUAAACCAGUGUUUUAAUCUGUUAGGUAACAUCAGCUGUAGCAUUUAACUUGCCUACUCUUUUUCUUCAGAAGGAUGAUUGUAAGCUUUUGUUCUGUAAAGAUCUGCCUGUCCUACCCUGAGAAUGGAGAUACUGUGUGCGUGACUUAUUGAAACUGCGGCUGCAAAGCUCUUCUAGUAGCUGCCCCUGUUCUGUGCUUCUGCAGAUGCUUUGUGCCUUUGGUGGCUGGCUUAUCUUUGAAGCACUAUUGAUUACCUCAUGAGGAGGAGGCUGUAUAUUCUUCCCCUUCUGCCAACACAAGGGAUGUAAGGAGAGGGACAGGCUGCAGCAGCAUACUGCAGAGUAAUAGCUGAG
This is a long non-coding RNA of Cygnus olor (mute swan), 396 nucleotides long. RefSeq lists it as uncharacterized. The transcript has 3 exons. Lineage: Eukaryota; Metazoa; Chordata; Aves; Anseriformes; Anatidae. The record is from RefSeq and is a predicted model, not a curated record.